Molecule: ribosomal RNA, 439 nt
Filed under: uncultured bacterium
Lineage: Bacteria
Description: partial 16S ribosomal RNA
Rfam family: Bacterial small subunit ribosomal RNA
Source: RNAcentral
CUACGGGUGGCUCCAGUGGGGAAUAUUGGACAAUGGGCGAAAGCCUGAUCCAGCAAUGCCGCGUGAGUGAUGAAGGCCUUAGGGUUGUAAAGCUCUUUUACCAGGGAUGAUAAUGACAGUACCUGGAGAAUAAGCUCCGGCUAACUCCGUGCCAGCAGCCGCGGUAAUACGGAGGGAGCUAGCGUUGUUCGGAAUUACUGGGCGUAAAGCGUACGUAGGCGGUUAUUCAAGUCAGAGGUGAAAGCCUGGAGCUCAACUCCAGAACUGCCUUUGAAACUAGAUAGCUAGAAUCUUGGAGAGGUGAGUGGAAUUCCGAGUGUAGAGGUGAAAUUCGUAGAUAUUCGGAAGAACACCAGUGGCGAAGGCGACUCACUGGACAAGUAUUGACGCUGAGGUACGAAAGCGUGGGGAGCAAACAGGAUUAGAUACCCCCGUAGUC